Molecule: long non-coding RNA, 889 nt
Organism: Pseudopipra pipra
Lineage: Eukaryota; Metazoa; Chordata; Aves; Passeriformes; Pipridae
Exons: 3
Source: RefSeq, a predicted model, not a curated record
CCACCUCACCAGAGCCCUUCCUCAAGACCAGCUCCUCUAACAACGCACGCUGGCACGCUCAUCCAUCACCUCCAGGCACACCAGGGACCACAGAGAUCCUGGAGAAGCUCAGGAGAGCGUGUUCAAAGUGGGAAAAAUAAAAGUUGCUAUCACAGCACUCGUGGCCACGGACAUGUUUUGGAGGGUGAUGGCUCAUUGUCCUGCACGAGGGGGGGAAGAAUAAAACUUCCAAACACACUUGUGAUGCUGCACAGGAGGAACCUUUCCUGCACAACCCGAUCCUGGCACACAGAACUGGAAACAAACCCCUCAGCACGAUGACUCCAGAUCUGCACGAGCCACUCAGCUGAGCCUCGUGUUCAUCAACGUCACAAUCAGUCCUGGAAAUUUCGUUAGUGACAUGAGAAUUGCCACUGUCAGCAAAGCCCUCCAGGACCUCACCAGGGCUCCCCGGUGUGCCAGCAACGCCGGUGCCAGGCUAAUUUCUUAAGACAGCCUGUAAAGAAGCCCUCCUGCCUGCCCCGCUCUGGGGUUUGACUGGUGGCACAGCCAUCCUUCCCUCAGAGCCACAGAGAAAGCAAAACAGUAACAGCCGGAGAGUUUAUUCCUUCAGGAACUGCUCAGAGAUUUCCUGGAAGCUGCAACACCACCAGCCAUCCCUGGAAGGCUUCCAGGACGGGAUGAAGGCAAACCAAGCCAGACACUCUCGCGGCAGGUUAGGAUGAAUCCAGACCCGAUUCUGAGCCCUGUGCUGCCUGCAGGAGCAUCUCCCAUCCGCAGAACCACCACGGCUUUCCCGACAAGAGCAACACGACAUCAAGGUUUUUCCACUGUGCCUAAUAAUCGUAACAUCUCACUCGCCAUUUGGCUCGUCAGUGGGGGUUCCUGA